This 253-nucleotide ribosomal RNA is filed under the name uncultured bacterium. Its description in RNAcentral is "partial 16S ribosomal RNA". It matches the Rfam family "Bacterial small subunit ribosomal RNA", at positions 524 to 776 of the family's 1533-position model. The record is from RNAcentral.
UACGUAGGGGGCAAGCGUUGUCCGGAUUUAUUGGGCGUAAAGAGCGUGUAGGCGGCUUUGCAAGUCCGUUGUGAAAACUCGAGGCUCAACCUCGAGACGCCGGUGGAAACUGCAAAGCUAGAGUCCGGAAGAGGAGAGUGGAAUUCCUGGUGUAGCGGUGAAAUGCGCAGAUAUCAGGAAGAACACCCGUGGCGAAGGCGGCUCUCUGGGACGGCAUUGACGCUGAUGAGCGAAAGCUAGGGGAGCAAACGGG